UGGCAUUAAAAUAGAACAAAUAUCUGUACAAGUUGUGUAAGCUGAGAGAGAGAGAGAGCAAUGGGUGCUGAAUCAUAAUGCUCUUGUCCUGUAUCACUGUAUCUAUAUUUAACUAAUUGCUGAUACAGAACACACCACAUUUGCACACAUAUACAUAAAAUUUUGUUGUUUUUUUUCUUUUUAUAUGCUUUAUAGUAUACAUAUAUAGACUAUUUUUCUUUACUAAUUAGACUUCAGAUCUCCUUUGGAUAUAUCUGAAACCUGCACUGUGGAAACUGGAUUUGGUCCAAAGGAAAUAAAACAACAACUUCAUGUGGAUAUGGAUUCUGUAGAUUUGAGUUUUACUUCAGUCUUUCUGAAGGGAGUUACUUUAAGAUAUCGAUAAAAAGAUCCGGUUUUUAAUGCUGAGACAGCUUCAAUAUCAAUCUUGUAAACAAGAAGCUUUCUUCUUUCCCUGCAGCUAAUUCUAUAAGCCACAACUACAUGAGCAACAGCCAAUGCUAACGAGCAUACGAACAACGCCAUCUCCAUAACUCGAACAUAUCCUCCUCGAUCCAUACUCGAACUAUGUGCAAACACAUAUGAAGCCUUCAAGGACACAAACACCAAUGAUGAAACAGAACAAAUUGUAGCAAUCCCCAAAUAUGGCCCUCUUGAUAACCUUGGUCCAUCACAUAAGCUAUAAACACAUAGAAUGAUGACGGACCUAACGAUGGAGAUGAGAGGGAUAUCAACAAGUGAAUAUCGAAAAUCAUAGUUGCUUAAGUGAGAAGAAAGAGAUUGAAUUGAAAGUGAAGAUGGUGAAAUUGAAGCAGAUAAUAAAAGUGAAGGAAGAAGUGUAUCUGCAAUUACAAUAAGAAUUGGUGCAGAAAACAGUAGAAGUGAUAUCAACAUAGAAAUCAAGAAAAAAAGAGUUUUGACCCAUCUCAAAACUUUGGUUUUUCUAUCUUCUUUCAAAAACCCCAUCUCGAGAAGAGAGAUUUCUUGAGGUUUUGGUGCAGAGAAAAUGGUGGGAAAAUGGAGAAUUUUGAGAACGAAGGGCAAGUGUUUGAUGAUUUGACUCAGAGAAAAUAUUGAGAAGAUGAAUUGAA
RNAcentral lists this unclassified non-coding RNA (1091 nucleotides) under Hevea brasiliensis (rubber tree). The record is from RNAcentral. Lineage: Eukaryota; Viridiplantae; Streptophyta; Magnoliopsida; Malpighiales; Euphorbiaceae.